GCUUAGAGUUUGAUCCUGGCUCAGGAUGAACGCUGGCGGUAUGCUUAACACAUGCAAGUCGAACGGAGUACAUUGUACUUAGUGGCGGACGGGUGAGUAACGCGUGAGAAUCUGCCUUUAGGAUGGGGAUAACAGUGGGAAACCAAUGCUAAUACCCAAUGAGCCGAGAGGUAAAAAAUUUAUUGCCUGAAGAGGAGCUCGCGUCCGAUUAGUUAGUUGGUGGGGUAAAGGCCUACCAAGGCGGCGAUCGGUAACUGGUCUGAGAGGACGAUCGGUCACACUGGGACUGAGACACGGCCCAGACUCCUACGGGAGGCAGCAGUGGGGAAUUUUCCGCAAUGGGCGCAAGCCUGACGGAGCAAUACCGCGUGAGGGAGGAAGGCCUUUGGGUUGUAAACCUCUUUUCUUAAGGAAGAAGCUCUGACGGUACUUAAGGAAUCAGCAUCGGCUAACUCCGUGCCAGCAGCCGCGGUAAUACGGAGGAUGCAAGCGUUAUCCGGAAUUAUUGGGCGUAAAGCGUCCGUAGGCGGCAUUAUAAGUCUGCUGUCAAAGACCGCAGCUCAACUGCGGAGAGGCAGUGGAAACUGUAAAGCUAGAGUCUGGUGGGGGUAGAGGGAAUUCCCAGUGUAGCGGUGAAAUGCGUAGAGAUUGGGAAGAACACCAGUGGCGAAAGCGCUCUGCUGGGCCAGAACUGACGCUGAGGGACGAAAGCUAGGGGAGCGAAAGGGAUUAGAUACCCCU
This 741-nucleotide ribosomal RNA is filed under the name uncultured cyanobacterium. Its description in RNAcentral is "bacterial SSU rRNA". It matches the Rfam family "Bacterial small subunit ribosomal RNA", at positions 1 to 789 of the family's 1533-position model. The record is from RNAcentral. Lineage: Bacteria; Bacillati; Cyanobacteriota.